Molecule: long non-coding RNA, 877 nt
Organism: Ostrinia furnacalis (Asian corn borer)
Lineage: Eukaryota; Metazoa; Arthropoda; Insecta; Lepidoptera; Crambidae
Exons: 2
Source: RefSeq, a predicted model, not a curated record
AAGACUCGAGUCGGUUGCUUGCACCUGAUCCUAUACGCGAAUCCCUUGAUAUACUGCCAGUAGCCAAGGCUGAUACAAAGCUGCUGCUGCUGUCUGGGUUAUCUUAUGUAGGGCCUAAGCUAAGCUAGGUCUAAGCGUAGUCCACAGCGACCCAUUAGGAUCUUUAUGCUCCAUUUUUUUAUUCCCUAUCAUCCAAAAAAAUCCUAUCCAUUAGGUGAAUUAAGCGUCUGAGUGAAAGCCUUCUAAGUCUUCUGAUGCCGGAUAUGCUGACCCAAGCAGACCCAUCCUUACAGUAUUGAUUCAUGGACCCCACAUGUAUUCCACAUGCUCGAGAGCUGUCUUCUGUUGUUAGGCCCAUUUUGUGGGACAUGUGGUUCGUUCCAUAAUGCCCAGUUUGCGUACCAGUAAUUGCUUGGAAUUAGGUAACUUUUAUUUCCGCUUAAUGAGUUUUCUCCAUGACCCUGUGUUUCCCUUUAGGAAUGAUUUGGAGAUGCUUAUCUUAUAUCGUUGGAGCUUUCCCAUUCAGCACUGUGCUUCUUGGAUAUGGCCAUUUUAUGGCCAUAAGGUAUGCCGUUAGAUUAUAAAGGUAAGUAUCAGUUCUGACCCAAUAGGUAUCGCCUCUGACCCUAGUUUCGCUAGACUGUCGGCUCUCCCAUUGCAUUUGAUCCGUGUAUGUCCAGGUAUCCCACAUCAGGGACACUUUCAUGCCUUCCGAGUUUGUUCAUCUUUAAGAUUGCAUCUAGAAUAAUUCUAGACUCAACCUUCACUGAGGCGAUGGCUUUUUGUUUGAGUGCUGCCUGGCUGUGGAUCAGGAUGUAAAUAUUGCGUUUUUUACACCCCUGUUCUUUAGUGCACACAUAUUAUAGCGUAGAAUUCA